Molecule: ribosomal RNA, 497 nt
Filed under: uncultured bacterium
Lineage: Bacteria
Description: partial 16S ribosomal RNA
Rfam family: Bacterial small subunit ribosomal RNA
Source: RNAcentral
GAUGAACGCUGGCGGCGUGCCUAAUACAUGCAAGUCGAGCGAACGGACGAGAAGCUUGCUUCUCUGAUGUUAGCGGCGGACGGGUGAGUAACACGUGGAUAACCUACCUAUAAGACUGGGAUAACUUCGGGAAACCGGAGCUAAUACCGGAUAAUAUUUUGAACCGCAUGGUUCAAAAGUGAAAGACGGUCUUGCUGUCACUUAUAGAUGGAUCCGCGCUGCAUUAGCUAGUUGUGAAGGUAACGGCCUACCAAGGCAAGUAUGCAUAGCCGACCUGAGAGAGGGAUCGCCCACACUGGAGCUGAGACACGGACCAGACUCCUACGGGACGCAGCAGUAGGGAAUCGUACGCAAUGGGCGGAAGCAUGACGGAGCAACGCCGCGUGAGUGAUGACGGUCUUCCGAUCGUAAAACUCUGUUAUUAGGGAAGAACAUAUGUGUAAGUAACUGUGCACAUAGUGACGGUACCGAAUCAGAAAGCCACGGCUAAUUACGUG